ACGGGUGCGUAAUACGUGAGAAUCUGCCCUUAGGAGAAGAAUAACUGCUGGAAACGGCUGCUAACUCUCCAUAUGCCGAGAGGUGAAAUAAUUUCGAUUGCCUAAGGAUGAGCUCACGCCUGAUUAGCUUGUUGGUAAGGUAACGGCUUACCAAGGCCACGAUCAGUAGCUGGUUUGAGAGAAUGAUCAGCCACACUGGGACUGAGACACGGCCCAGACUCCUCCGGGAGGCAGCAGUGAGGAAUUUUCCGCAAUGGGCGAAAGCCUGACGGAGCAAUACCGCGUGAGGGAUGAAGGAUUUUGGUCUGUAAACCUCUUUUCUCAAGAAAGAAGUUCUGACGGUACUUGAGGAAUAAGCAUCGGCUAACUCCGUGCCAGCAGCCGCGGUAAUGCGGGGGAUGCAAGCGUUAUCCGGAAUCAUUGGGCGUAAAGCGCCUGUAGGUUGUUUAAUAAGUCUGUUGUUAAAGACUAGGGCUCAACCCUAGAAAAGCAAUGGAAACUACUAGACUUGAGUAUGGCAGGGGUAGAGGGAAUUUCUAGUGUAGCGGUGAAAUGCGUAGAUAUUAGAAAGAACACCGGUGGCGAAAGCGCUCUACUGGACCAUUACUGACACUCAGAGGCGAAAGCUAGGGUAGCAAAAGGGAUUAGAUACCCCUGUAGUCCUAGCCGUAAACGAUGGAUACUAGAUGUUGUGUUUAUUUUACAGUAUCGUAGCUAACGCGUUAAGUAUCCCGCCUGGGGAGUACGCUCGCAAGGGUGAAACUCAAAGGAAUUGACGGG
RNAcentral lists this ribosomal RNA (780 nucleotides) under uncultured bacterium. RNAcentral's name for it is "bacterial SSU rRNA". It matches the Rfam family "Bacterial small subunit ribosomal RNA", at positions 102 to 917 of the family's 1533-position model. The record is from RNAcentral.